CUCUAGUUAAAGGCAUUGUGUCUCCAGGAGGCCCGGGUUACAGGGCAGCCACCCAUAGGCAACGCCACACAUUUAACCCAUAAUUGCCCAUCAGCCCAGAACCUGGCUGCAGAGAAAAGCUACCAGCUGUUGGUAACCGAACACUGCCUUGCUAAGAGAAGCUUUUUGACAGCCUCUUCACAUAAGUGGGGGAAAUGGGUGCCGCAAAGCUCUGGAUCAGGAGUGUAAUGGCUUCCAUGGGAGCGGCCAAAUUGCUGCAGUGAUGGCAUCUCAGCUUUCUCCUCCCAGGGCAUGGGCCAGUUAGACUUCGGAUACUGAGAGGAAUGUGGAAAUGCAAAUGGCACCAAGGAAGUGCACAUAAGUUCAUGGAUGAUGGAUCCAAUGUGGAAUCAGGGAACGCUUGGGUCACACCCUUAACCAGGCCUUAUCUCUGAGGGAAGAAGACAACUGCCUAUCCAGCUUGAGCUGAUGUCCUCCAACAUCCUGUCACUGAUGGUGGAAACUUUACAUUGUAUUGCUCAGGACCACGUUUGGAUGCAAAUAACAUAAUACCUGAUAGAGAUUUUUUGCUGUGGUCUGAAGAAUUCUUGAAGUAGAUAUUGUCCAGGUAUUCCCUAAUGAGCAUCCUGCUUGCUAAUCAACAUCUCAGAACCUGCAGCCCAAGGAACCUACCUGAGACAGCAGGUGAUAAACCUUAUGUUGAAAAGAAAAUGAAGAUGGGCGAUGUUGUCGGGAGGCAGGUUUCAGCAUUAACUGAGGUGUUCAGAGCAGGCAACAUGGAGAAAGUGGGACUUGAG
RNAcentral lists this long non-coding RNA (797 nucleotides) under Equus asinus (donkey). RNAcentral describes it as "lncRNA (ENSEASG00005026510.1)". The record is from RNAcentral. Lineage: Eukaryota; Metazoa; Chordata; Mammalia; Perissodactyla; Equidae.